CCGACGUAAUUUGUUCUGAUUGGCCUGUUACCCGGAAGUGUUAAAUUCCGAACACCUUUUGGAAUUAAUCAAUCGCCCUUAAGUCAUUAGACUUGUUAUAUAAACUAUGUUAUGUCUUGUUUCUUCGUUAUUUAGAGCUUGGUUUCACGUCAGCAAAUUAUGUUCAUAAAACGAUGUUAUUAUAACCAAAUAAAAUAGUUUUUUGGGCAUAACUGUGAAAAGUCGACGUGUGAUUUAGCGCUCAAUGCGGCGUCUACAUUGUAUGUCCAUGACUACGUCGUCUGGAAAAUGUGUUUCUACCGGCCCUAUUAAUAUCUGCGGCAAACCAUUGUAAGGUACGUGAGGAUAAAUUCGUCCUAAACGUUACCUUGCAGAACCAAGCAGGAAGAAGAAGCUGAAACGUUGGAGCAGACGGAAGCCAGAGAGUGCGACAUGGUCACGCUGCAAAUCUGGAACUUUGAGCCAAGCUAUUGCGAAUAAUGGAUUGCUUACCCAAAUCAACUGGAAACGUCCCCAGGCAUGCUUUACCAAACGGACAACUGUCCAUCGAGUGGAAAGCCGGUCCCUGAAAAUAAUGCCCUCAAGGGAACCGGUCCGUAAUGCAAAAAAAUUUGGGGACCCCUGGUCUAGAUGGAAGCCUGUUACAGCAGAAAGUAAGCAGUUAUUAUCAGGGGGUCUUCAGCAUCGUCCCCCAGGACAACAGUACUGAGGUGGGCGUCACCGACCCGAUGACCAAGUGAAGC
Molecule: long non-coding RNA, 743 nt
Organism: Entelurus aequoreus (snake pipefish)
Lineage: Eukaryota; Metazoa; Chordata; Actinopteri; Syngnathiformes; Syngnathidae
Exons: 5
Source: RefSeq, a predicted model, not a curated record